GUCAAGCUGUCCCUAAACAACAUCAAGUGACAAUACCCGAGGGCGUUCUCUUGCUUUACCAAAGUUACAAAAGAGUAUGUAAAUUUCAAAAUAUGUCAAACGAGUCACAGAAAUAGUCUUUGUACUUAUUGGUACAAGACUCUAGGCGAUGUUCACACCCGUUGCACCCACCAGACCAGAAGGAGAAACCAGACAGAGGAGUUAAUUGCCCCGUUUCCAAAGAGAUAUGGCUACAAGAGAGGAUACUUGUACCUGUUGGUUUAUGAAGGAAUCGUUCUGAAAGGCACAGAAAAACUUACUCCACUAAAGUGGACAUUGAGGAUGAUCAUUGAUGAUAGGUUCAAGCUGAAUUUUUUAAGCUUGGUACUGAGGAUAUUGAAGAGAAAAUAGAAUGUGACAAUGAACAGUGUCCAGCUGUUUCUCAACACACCUCAGGGGUGGAAGAGCAAUCCAGUCAGAAUAUAGAGUUUUGUCUGAGUCAGUCAUCCUAAGGAACUGUAUGUGACUACUGGAGACGACCCACAUACUAUCGAGAAAAGCUAAACAAGAGUAUGAAACUGUCUGAUGGUAAAUUCACGCCCUUACGCUUCACCCUGAAUACAUCAUUAGAUGAGGUACAGCAGUCUAUAAAAGACUAUGUGACACAGAAAGCCAAUGAAGUUAUUCAGUGUGCCUUUGAAUGCAUUGCACCUUGCAAGAAAAUGCUUUAAUGCACUUGUUAUAUAAAAAAUAUUACAUGCUGGAGGAAAAAAGAUAGAAACUGAUGCAUUUACAGAAGCCUUAAUAAAAGCAUACGAUCAGGAUCAUCAGGCUGAUGGGCAUCAGAGUCAAGUACAGAUACUAUCAUUUUUUGUGAACAACGUUUCAAAAACUGAACUUUGUAAAAUGUCGCAUGGUUUAACAAAGUACAAAAUAGAUUGUGCAAGAAAAUAUGCAUCAACUAAUAUUGUCCUGGCUACUUUUUUCAUCCUUUGUUAAAACAAAACAGUGGAGCUACAGUCUCCUCAGAGACUACUGGUCUAUCCACAUGUACAGAAGUAUUUUUACCAAAAUGUUCAGUCAUUGUACAUACCAUUUUUGAAGUGAAAAUAUUGAUUUUUUAAAUAGUAGCCUAAUAUAGUUCAUAAAAGUAUGAAACAAAGGGAAAUAACUCUGUCGCAAAAAAUCACAAUUUUUUGGAAAAAUUCCUCAAUUUCAAAAUCGCACAGUGUCACCAAUAAUCAAAACCCGAAUAAUUGCCUGUAGGAAAUUAUUAUUAAGUUCACAAUCUUUAUCUUAAAACAAAAUAAUUUAAAAUCUAAGCGUCCAAACCCAGGUUUAAAACAUUUCCAAUAUCGACCCUUUUCCCACAUUUUUCAGUCUCUUUUAUAUCAAGAGUUAUUCCCCCUGUGUUUAAAUAUAGCAUUGAUUUUUAAGACAAAAAAAUUUGUGCAAAAUGAAAUAAAUAAUAUAUAUUUUCUUUUGUUCUUACUUUUGAUCACUCAAUAUUU
Molecule: long non-coding RNA, 1490 nt
Organism: Saccostrea cuccullata (small rock oyster)
Lineage: Eukaryota; Metazoa; Mollusca; Bivalvia; Ostreida; Ostreidae
Exons: 4
Source: RefSeq, a predicted model, not a curated record